AUUAACGCUGGCGGUGUGCAUAACACAUGCAAGUCGAACGGAUUAUCUGCGAUUACAUCAAGGGUAAUUAGUGGCAAACGGGUGCGUAACACGUUGGUAUCUUCCUGGAAGUUUCGAAUAACCAGCCGUAAGGUUGACUAAUACGAAAUGGUCCCGCAAGGGUAAAGCUUUUGCGCUUCCAGAAGGGCCUGCGGCCUAUCAGCUAGUUGGCGGGGUAACUGCCCACCAAGGCAAUGACGGGUAGCGGUUCUGAGAGGAUGAUCCGCCACACUGGUACUGAGACACGGACCAGACUCCUACGGGAGGCAGCAGUGAGGAAUAUUGCACAAUGGGGGGAACCCUGAUGCAGCAACGCCGCGUGGAGGAUGACGCAUUUCGGUGUGUAAACUCCUUUUAUAUGUCAAGAAAAUGACGGUAGCAUAUGAAUAAGCACCGGCUAACUCCGU
RNAcentral lists this ribosomal RNA (446 nucleotides) under uncultured bacterium. Its description in RNAcentral is "bacterial SSU rRNA". It matches the Rfam family "Bacterial small subunit ribosomal RNA", at positions 29 to 506 of the family's 1533-position model. The record is from RNAcentral.